ACAGCAGUAGCCGCGGUAAUACAGAGGGUGCGAGCGUUAAUCGGAUUUACUGGGCGUAAAGCGUGCGUAGGCGGCUAAUUGAGUCGGAUGUGAAAUCCCCGAGCUUAACUUGGGAAUUGCAUUCGAUACUGGUUAGCUAGAGUGUGGGAGAGGAUGGUAGAAUUCCAGGUGUAGCGGUGAAAUGCGUAGAGAUCUGGAGGAAUACCGAUGGCGAAGGCAGCCAUCUGGCCUAACACUGACGCUGAGGUACGAAAGCAUGGGGAGCAAACAGGAUUAGAUACCCGGGUAGUCCCUGUCUCUUAUAC
This 305-nucleotide ribosomal RNA is filed under the name uncultured bacterium. Its description in RNAcentral is "partial 16S ribosomal RNA". It matches the Rfam family "Bacterial small subunit ribosomal RNA", at positions 508 to 807 of the family's 1533-position model. The record is from RNAcentral.